RNAcentral lists this long non-coding RNA (39936 nucleotides) under Brassica napus (rape). RNAcentral describes it as "long non-coding RNA (BNAP_LNC022574)". Lineage: Eukaryota; Viridiplantae; Streptophyta; Magnoliopsida; Brassicales; Brassicaceae. The record is from RNAcentral.
ACUCGGUUAAAGUAACGUCGGAGACAACGGCAGUCAAGAUUUCGGUUGAACCGGCGGUUUUGAAUUUCAAAGAAGUGAACGAGAAGAAAUCGUAUUCGGUAACGUUUACCGUUAUCUCAUCUAAGGCGCCAAUGUCUAACAGCUUCGGGAGCAUUGAAUGGUCAGAUGGGAAACACGUGGUGGCCAGUCCCGUGGCGAUUAGCUGGACAUAGGUGGUCCAUGAAGAAAUAUGGCGACUUGAGUAAGAAGAAAGCAACAGAUAUUGUAAUUUCUCAUGAGCCUUGGAUAUUUAAUGAAAAGUAAAAAAUUGGUAAGUACUAUUUUAGCUGGCUAGUGUGUUAUGAAUAUUCUUAUUUACUAGGCUGUGGACAUUGUAGAUACUGACAAUUAUUAGAUUAGUUUAUGAGAUAUGAAAUAUACUAGGCACUUGAUUCACGUUGCAUGAAUGUGAACCACUCAACGUAGGAAACUAUCACUAAUCAAAUACAUCUAGUGUAUCAUAACAAUGUGAUUACGAUGAGUUAAAAAAUAUGAAUCUAAUAACAUAGAGAAAAAGUAGAAACGACUCUAAGAGCUAAUCAUAACCAACUAGAGGUUUCAUUUCAAGAACCAACAAUAACAAGUUCAUAAACAUGAGGUAAUAAAAGAUAUCAAUCGAAAUAAAUACCUAUCUUCAAACAAACUAUAAAAAUGUAUGGCUUUUGUUAAAAGCAAACUCACCUCUUUCCAGUACACAAAUUUGCAGAGAAAAAUCCAAAAAAAAAAAGAAAAGGAUAAAACAAAUUCACGAAUAGUAACUCAAUUUUGAUCAACGUCCAAUUAAAACCCUGAUAUGUAAUUUUAUUUUCAGAAACCCAUCGUGGCAUUAUCACUCAGAGACUAAUACAAUUGGACCAACCUGCCAGCUUCUGAUGUUGCUAUAUUUUUAUUUUUUUUCUGUUUUAUAAAAAUAAAAACUAAUGUUAAAAGAGAGAAUGUAUCCCUGUAUUGUUAACUAUUGAUAUGAUUUAGUUAGUCUGAUCUGAUGUGAAGACAUGUUAAUUCAUACCAUACAAACCAAAGUCUCAAAUUGCCACCCACAUUAUUUGGAUCCCAACCGUCAAAAGCAUUGGUUAGUUGGUGUCUUCGACGAAACUCAUUGAGAUCUUUGCAAAGUAGUUCGUUUCUUUGCUUCUGUCUUGUGAUGAGCCUUAAAGAUAUUAAUAGACUCACAACUUACAUAAACCCUAAACCUGAUUUUAAAGUUGAGGAGGAUCAUGAACUUUAAAGAUAUUAAUAGACUCAUAACUUUGCUUCUGUUUUGUGAUAAGUUACAGCAGCCGGACUAGGAUCUUCCACCAAUGAACCGAUGCAUGGCUCACACUAAUUUGCUUCUCUUAUCUAAAACAAAUUUCGGGGAAAUAAAGCGAUGAGUAGAGCUUAUUGAUGAUUUUCCCUUUAGAAUCCUCUCACAUUUCAAAUAUAAUUUCAAAUUGUUAUAAGGUAAAACUUUUCUGGCUAGAUUCCAACUAGUAGUUUCGUUCAAAGGGAGAAAAUGAGAUCAAAUUAAAUCGUCUAAUAUUCACUUUGUUUUAAUGGUUUUUAUCCAACCUAUAAACCAUUUUUAUAGUCUCAAACAAGUCACAGUAAACAUCAAAAAGAACACAGGUAAACUUAUGUUCACAGUCACCUAUAAACUAUCUUUAUAGUCUCAAACAAGUCACAGCCAAUAUAUCCAGUAUAGUAAUCAGUGUGAUAUAUUAUUUGAUGUUGAACAUAGGUAAACUUCUCUGAACAAAAGUCUUUAUAUUUUGUCUUUGAACAGAAGUCUUCUAACAUUAAAAUUUACAAAAAGAACAAAAAUAAAUUUAGAGACAAAUCAAAACGGAAAGCAAAACUGAUCACUUUCAAAACAGAAUAGUGGACAGAAGAGUCUAAGAGCACCUCCAGUGCAUUACAUAACAUAAGUACACCACCAAAUAAUCUUCUAGUUAGAGAUAUGAAUUAAAAGGCUAUAUUCACUUAGUCUUAGAUUUUUAUCAAAACAUAUAAACCAUUUUUAUAGAGACUCAACAAGUUGUCAGCAUCAUAGUUAAAAUAUGUUAAUACUAAAUAGAAACAGAGAAUCUUAAAAUAAUAAAACAAUAAUAAUCUCGAGCUAAUACUGAAAUAUAAUAGUCAGUGUAAUUGAAUAUAUAUUAUUUCAUGUUGAACAUAGGUCAACUUAUGUGAACAAAAGUCUUUUAGGUUUUGUCCUCUUUGAAGAUAAGUCUAUAAACCUUAAAAAUUUACGGAAAAAAAAAACAAAAAAAAAAAUCAGAGAGAAAUCAAAAUGUGUGUGUGGAAAACCAACAUAACAUACAAACAAAAUAUACUUUAAAGGAAAUUGGAUUUUAUACAACUACACCAAGUAUAAUCUUCUAGAGUUAUAUAUUAAGGUUAUAUUCACUUAGUGUUAAUGUUUUUUGAACAUCAUAAAGGUCUUCUGAAUCCCUCAUGGCAUGAUGAUUUUAUCAAAACUAUAACCGAUCUUUAUCAUCUCAAACGAGUCACAGUAAAUAUCAGAAUUAAAGAGGUAAUACUAAACAAAAACAUAGAAUCUCAAGAAAAUAAACCAAUAAUUGUCUCGAGAUAAUACCAUAGUAUAGUAAAAAAAAUUGAUAAUCCGGAGUAUCCAAAUCCGAAAGACUAACUGAUUUUUUGGGGUCGAUCCACCGGCCACAGACAAGCUCGUUUACUCUAUAUGAGAGUUACAUAUCCAAGCCGCCUAAAUAUAUGCAGAUGAAUAAAUUUAAAUGGUAGGUUUUGGACUCGGGAUGCUCAGCACGUUUUCGAACCUGUCGUAUCACUCGAUAAUAUAUGUAUGGUUAAUUAUAGUAAUUAGUGUAAGUGGAUAUAUUAUUAUUUCAUGUUGAACAUAGUUAAUAUCAUGUGAACAAAAGUCUUUAUUUUUUGUCUUGAUGAACAAAGUCUACGAAGAUUAAAAUUUACCUAAAAACAAAAGUAAAUUUUAGAGAAGUCGAAAAGAAAAACGAAAGAGAUCACUUUAAAAGCAGAAUAGUGAACAAGAGUGUUAUAGUAAUAUCUCCUCACUCUCUUUCUCGACUCUAUAUAAACUCUCUCGCAUCUUCACAUUUUCCACACAACUUCACAAAACAUGUCUUCUUCGUUUGUCUCAUCCACUGCUUCUUUCUUCUUUAUCGUUCUUCUUUAUCACGGUUCCUUCCACGUCUCCGAUGGAGCUCAACAAGCUACAUUCAUUGUUCACAUGGCGAAAUAUCAGAUGCCCUCAAGCUUCGACCACCACUCUCUCUCUGGUACGAGUCCUCUCUCAAAUCCGUAUCAGAAUCUGCUGAAAUGCUCUACACUUACAACAAUGUAAUUCACGGAUUACUUCCGAAGAAGCUGACUCACUCAUGACCACCGCUUACAAUACCUACAAAGACGGACAACCGAUCAUUGACAUCGGGACGGUAAAACCUUCAACGCCGAUUGGGCACGGUGCAGGACACGUGUCACCGACGACGGCCAUCAGUCCAGGACUCAUCUACGAUCUAACGACUAAGUAUUAUAUAGAUUUCCUCUGCGCAUUGAAUUAUAAUUCGUCGCAGAUAAUAAAAGUAUCGAGAGGCAAUUACACUUGCGAUACAAGGAAAACUUACUCCGUUGCUUAUCUAAACUAUCCAUCGUUUGCCGUUAACGUCGACGGGUCCGACACGUACAAGUACACACGCACGGUCACAGCAGUUAAGAUUUCGGUUGAACCGCCGGAUUUGAUUUUCAAAGAAGUAAACGAGAAGAAAUCGUAUUCGGUAACGUUUACUGUUGACCCGUCGAAGCCGUCAGGGUCUAACAGCUUUGGCAGCAUCGAGUGGUCGGAUGGGAAACACGUGGUAGCCAGUCCAGUGGCAAUUAGCUGGACAUAGUAGUCAAUUACGACUAACUUGAGAAAGAAGAAAGUUACAGAUAUAAAAAAAAAAAAAGAAAGUUACAGAUAUUUAUAUGCCGUUUUCCAUAAGAACUCUGUUUAGCGAAAACGGCAUGAAGUCGGUUUUCUAGGUAAUAUAACAAGAGACUUGAAUAUUUAAUGAAAAGUAAAAAAAUGGUAACGACUAGUUUAGCUGGCUAGUGUGUUAUGACUUUUUUUAUUUACUAGGCUAUCGACAUUGUAAGAUACUGAAAAAUAAAAUGAACAAUAUCAAAUAAAAUAAUAAAGCAAAGAAAUAUCAUUAAAACGAAUCAGCUUAAUAUAUCUUAUUAAAUAAAGUUUACAUAUUCCACGUCACUCUGGAGAGGGGGAGUUUUCUUGCCACGUGUCGCCUCACCAAACAAACGAUUUCUGUGUAAUCCGGUCUUAUUCGAACUGGGCUUUUAUUAAAUUUUAUUAUUAAGCUCAAUAUUAUGUCAAGCUCACGUAUCAUUAGCUAUCUUCUUCCUUUCAAGCUUGCGACUUCCCCGAUGCAAUUUCCAGAAACUUAAAUCGAUGUUCCUAUCUCCGUAUCGUCUCAGCCUUCCAUUAAUCCGUUCUUAACUCAGAGUUUUUGCGUGUUUGAUCCACCCCUCUCACUGCAAAGUUUUGUUUUUGUUAGGGAAAAGGGAUGAAGUCAGAGCGUGCUGCCAAAUUGAUGCUAGAGGCGCUGCUUAUGCUGUUCCUGGCUCUCGCAAGACGGUGACUUGAGGUUCGGCUCCUUUGAAAUCUGUGUGUUCUUUGGUCGUUUAUAUUUUUAGUGCGUUAAGGUGUUAGUUUCUGCUUCUUGAGUUAGUUUUAAGCAAAGUGUUGAGUAUGGUACAACAAUCAAGCAUAAAAAAUCGUCGUUUUUCAGUAAAAUGAAAGUUAGAUUCUUUGAUGUGUGAAUCUGUGGCUAUGAUGUAUUAAAACAUAUUGGUUUGCAGGGAGAUAAUGUUACAAUGAAAUUAAGAUCGUAUGGAUAGUUGGAACCUCAUUUGCAGCUGAAGAAUAAGCAUGUCGGUUCAAGUUUCUUACACACAGCUCCUCAUAGAUGGAAACUUCGUCGACUCUGCUUCUGGUGAGUAAUAUUUUCAUUCAUAAACAUCGGAAUAACAAAGGAAAAUUUUGAAUUUUGAGAUUCAAGUUCCAUGAGCACUAAUGUUUGGUUUUGGAUUGGGAGUUUAAGUAAGACGUUCCCGACUCUUGAUCGACGCACAUGGAAAGUCAUUGUGAACGUAGCUGAAGGCGACACUGAAGAUAUCAACCAGGCGGUGAAAGCUGCAAGGAAGGCCAUUGAUGCGGACCUUGGCCAAAGAUGACCGUUGGAAUUCAUGGACCAUAGUCACCUACAAUGUGGUCACUGAAGCGUUCGGGAGAGAAGGAGCUUGAAAAAAUGGAAUAUUUAUUAAGGCUAAUGCAAUCAGAGAGAAUAAAACAGAGAUGCGUUCACCACUGUCAUUUUAUAAGGAUUUAUUAAAUAUAACUGAUUUUGAAGGGUACUUCUCAAAACUUUAUACUAAUCUCAGAUUAGUCUAUAAGUGAUUUAUAAACUGUACAAAUGAUUUAUUAACUUUUAUAAAAUAUUUAUAGAUCUUUAUAAAUUGUUAUGGACUCUUAUAAAAACUUUAUAGCUUCAAAUAAUGCAUCGAUAAGGUAGCCUUUAUGUUCUUAACAACAAAAAAUACAUUAUUUGUCUUCUACCAUGAUGCAAUCAUAUCUCACUUUUUUUAAAAGGGCAACCGCCUCGACACAAAUAGCAACUACAAUAUUAAAUUUUCAAAUUAAUCAAAAUGGCUAGUUAUAAAUGUCCAUAAAUAAAUUACAACAAUAGCGGUUUCAAAUCAGCAAUGGAACUAUUAUGCUCUCUUAUUUGCGAUCAUAUUUUCUAUUUCUACUGCAUUGAUCAAUGGCUUCGUACCGAUAAAAGUUGUUCCAUAUAUAAGAAAAGUCAUCUAUAUUUCAGAAUUAUUACAAUUUAUAAAGGAGUUUCUUAUGUUCCAAUUUUUAGUUUUAUUUACAUACUGUUUUUUUAAUUUUCGUUUUAAUUUUCAAACAAAAUAUUUUCUCAUUUCCUAAUAUGUUCCAUUGUCAGAAUAGGUUUCUUAUCAAAAAUCAAAUAAGAAGAAUAUAUAUAAAAAAAAAUUCAUUAUAUACGUUUAAAUAAAACAUCAAAUUUACUUUAUGUUUAAAUUUUAAUUAAAUUAACUAUGUAACGACUAUCAAUUUUUUACUCUACUUUUAUUGAAUCGAUUAGUCACAACCACUUAUGCUAUUAUACUUUGAAAUAAGCAAUUUCAAAACAAAUUAAUACAUUACGGUCGUUAACCACUGGACCAGAAAAUAUAUAAUUUUCUUUCAACAAAUUUCUGUUUUCAUAUUUUUGAACAUAUUUUCUUUACUAAAACCAUAAAAUGAAUUGUAAAUUCAUGUAAAAAUAAAACACACGAACCCCGGCGCUUACCACUAGUAUAUAUAUAUAUACACUUAAAAAGUCAUUUUUUUAAUUUGUGUGGGUCUAAGCCAAAGUUGGAAUAUUUUUGCUGUGGUUUUGGAUUCACUAGUUGCCUAGUUGCCAACGUUUUUAGUGGCAGAAAACUCAGGCUUUUAUAAAUUUAGUUGAAUUAUUCUGAUUUUGUCCAGAAAAUUUAACUAGAAAAACAAAUUUUGAAGAAAACUGUUUAAUAAUUUUGAUCUGAGAUUUGGGCUACAUAUAUAUUAUGUGCAUAUGUUCUUUUAUUUUUGAAACUUAUGCGCAUGUGUUCUUUAAAAGGUGAAAUCGAUAGCUCUCUUUCUUUAUCUACUUGAGAGUAUAAUUCUUAAUACUAACUAGAAGAGGGUAAAAAUAGUGAUAUGUGUGUUUUUGGGGUAUGCAAUGCAUUUAACUUUGGCUAUCGAGUCCAAAUAAAUAUAUAUAUAUAUAUAUACUAUCUAUUUGGGAAGUCAACAAAAAAUAAUUAACAAAAAUUGUCGUAGAAAUAAAAAAAUUAAGGGGAAUUUGUCAAAUAUAACUCAAAACUUGAUUUUAACCCCCAAAAUAUCACAAACUUGAAUCAAAUGCAAAAGUAACCCAAAAAGUUUGUGAAAUUACAACCAGCCCCCUAUGGUCAAAAAAAAAACCAUAAUUCACUUUUACGAAUAUAAUCUCGUAAAGUCUUCUGAGAUUUUGUAAGUCCUCUAUGGUUCUGUAAGUUUUCUGGAAGUCUUUUCAUAUAGUAGACCUUAAAAAUAAGGGAGAAUUGCCAAGUGUGACUCAAAACUUGGAGUCAAACCCAAAACAAUACCCCAACUUGGGUCAAACGCAAAAGUAACCUAAAAGGCUAUUGAAAUUACAACUAUCCCCUUGUGACCAAACAAAAAAACGGAAUUUUUUUUACGUUUCUACCCCUCGCAAGUCGUCUGUUUAGACGACUUGAAAAUAAGUCGUCCAGACGACUUAACUGAAAGUCGUCUGGACAGUUAGUCUUAAACAUAAUUUAAAAAUUUUGUAAAAAAUAUUUUGAUAAGUGAAAAAUGGGAAUUAUGUAAUUAACAUAUGUCUUAGGAGGUAUAAAUUAAGAUAUAACAAAUUUCAAUUGUUUUCAGCAUAGAUGAGUGAAAGUAGUGAGUCAUGAUAUUCUUUAGUUUAUGUUUCAUCAACAUAUGUUGUAGUAUUGUAUGUGUUCUUAGGGUUAGAUUUUGGAAAGCAUUAAAACCGUUUUUGAAAAUUUUUAAAAUUACUUAUCCGUGUUCAUUUCUGUGUAUAGUAAACACUAUUUAAGUAUAAUUUGAUUUUAUAACGUGGUUAGUUAGUUAAUCUAGUCAUUUUAGUUUAGGGGUUCAUUUUAGGGUCUAGGACGACUUAAUAUUUUGUCGUCUGAAAACAGACGACUAAAUAUUAAGUCGUCUGUUGUACAUUAUCAGCCAGAAUAAGUCGUCUAAACCGGACCAAACCUUAAAGUUUACCAAUGUACUUUUAAAGCUAACCGGAUUAUUUACCCAAUAUAUAAGGUGAUUUUUUUUUUUUUUGUUUCAUUUUUCGCGAAAUUCAGAAACCCUAACAGUUCUCUCUCAAAGGCGAUUUCGAAUUCCCACGAUUUCCGAACAAACCAUCGUUCUCAACGUCGGCUAUCUAUCUCACUUCAUUCUCACCGUUGUCGCCGCAGCUUCUUCUAACCCUAGCGCCGCCGAUUCCUCUAAACCCUAGCGCCGCCGAUUCCUCUAAACCCUAGCGCCGCCGCUUCCACUAUUUCCGAACAAACCGUCGCCCUCGCCACCGUGGUCACCAACGUUCUCACCGCCGCUUCCUCUAAACACUAGCGCCGCCGCUUCUUCUAAACCCUAGCGCCGCCGCUUCUUCUCUGUAAACCUUAGCGCCGUUUCUCUGUAAACCCUAACGCCGCUAAGUCAUCAAUCUCGAGGAAAAGAUGAACAUAAAACGUUGUCUCUAUCAAUUUACUCAUUCUCACCGUUUCACGUUUAUUUUUUCAGAUCUAUAACCGCAAUGACGAGUACUCCAACUCCUUCUGCGACUGGAAGACUUGUAAGUAAUUUAAGUCGUCCGGCUUUGUCUUCCAACUGGACGACUUAGUAGAUGACUUAAAUAUAAGUCGUCCAUUUGGAAGACUUUCCAGACGACUUAAAUUUAAGUCGUCUACUAAGUCGUCUGGACUUAUAUUGUUGUCUUUGAUUAUUUUGCAGACAAAAAGGAUGGAUAUUCCAGAACUCCCCCGUAGGUUAUACACAUCAGGGGAAGAGCCAGAAGCCCACAAUAGCAUUUCGUAUCAUACGGAUAACAGCAAGUUGCAUACUGCUCUUAGGAAAGCUCUUACUGAUGACGAAUUUGAAGAGCUCAAGGAGUCGAGUUUGGGAGUUUUCAUCAAGUUCAAGGAGCAGGGAUUUGGUUGGGCUUCAAGGCUGGUUCACUACAUGCUCAGUUUCAAGCUGGACAUUAAGAAGAAGUAUGAGAUGUGGUCUCUCGUUGGUCCAGAACCUUUGAGGUUUUCACUGUUAGAGUUUGAAAACCUCACUGGUCUAAACUGCGAGUACAUCGAGGACCUUGAGACACCAAAAUGUGACGUUACCCCAGAGAUGGUUUCUUUCUGGGGGAUGCUGGGAGUUCAUCUGGAAGCUGGGCCAACUACUGAUCAGAUAAUAGCAGCACUGAAGAGAUGCGGGGAUUGGUCCAGGGAAGAUCGCAAGCGGCUCGCGUACCUCUCCAUCUUCACUGGAUUCAUUGAAGGGAGAAAGUUUUCAACCGCUACACGAUCUACUCUGGCAAGGCUAGUGAUGGAUUUAGAACGGUUUGAGAAUUAUCCAUGGGGGAGAGUCGCGUUUAAGGUGCUGAUGGACUCUUUGUGGAACAAAGAAAUUGCUGGCUGUUACACCGUGGAUGGGUUUAUACAAGUUCUUCAAGUCUGGACGUACACAGCUAUGCCGGAAUUGGGUGCUAGUAUUGGUGGUCCCAGAGCAGACAGUCCGUCUCCACCGAUACUGGCUUACGAGGGCAGCAGAGGCCGCAGAUCAAUGAAAGCUGCUAUCUUGAGUCAGGUAUUUACUUCAAUCCAAAAGACUGCGCAGACGACUUAUUAUAAGUCGUCUGGAAGGUCGUCCAGCUUGACGACUUAUUAGACGACUUAUAAUAAGUCGUCUGGAAAGUCUUCCCAGCUGGACGACUUAUCGGACGACUUAAUUAAGUCGUCUGGAAAGUCUUCCAUCUGGACGACUUAUUAGACGACUUAUAAUAAGUCGUCUGGAAAGUCUUCCCAGCUGGACGACUUAUCGGACGACUUAAUUAAGUCGUCUGGAAAGUCUUCCAUCUGGACGACUUAUUAGACGACUUAUUAUAAGUCGUCUGGAAGGUCUUCCAUCUGGACGACUUAUUAGACGACUUAUAAUAAGGCGUCUGGAAAGUCUUCCCAGCUGGACGACUUAUCGGACGACUUAAUUAAGUCGUCUGGAAAGUCUUCCAUCUGGACGACUUAUUAGACGACUUAUUAUAAGUCGUCUGGAAGGUCUUCCAGCUGGACGACUUAGUAGACGACUUAUAAUUAAGUCGUCUAUUUAGUAUUUUUUUUCAAAUAUCUAACUCGAUUCUUCUAUUUACUGCAGACCCGCGUGAUCAACUUUGUUGAGAAGGACAUUAGUGAAAUGUGGCCAAAAUGGGACUCUGAGGUUGAGGACCUGCCCGCGGAGAACAUCAUUAAAGUCAUGUAUGAGCGGAGACCGUGGAAGUGGACCAUGGAUUGCUGGGAAGUCACUGGUACUAAGGUCAAUACAAAACCUAAGGUUGUGACUCCAUCGAAGAAGGCCAAAGAGAUGGUUGUGGUGUAGGAGGAGGAGGAGGAGGAGGAAGACAAUCCAAGACCUCGGAAGAAAGCUCGUAAAGAGGCUCCUAAAGAGGCUAGUGAAGAGGCUAGAGAAGAGGCUAGAGGGGUGACCAGAGAGGAGUUGGAAAUUAUGUUCAAGGGCGUAGCUGACUGCAUGAAAAAAGGGUUUAAUAAGUGCAUGAGGGAGUUUAGGAAGUUGUCCGAUAGAUUGGAAGCUGUGGAGAAGAAGGUUGGUGUCACCAAUCAGGCUACCCCUCCACCUCUAACCAAUCAGGCUACCCCUCAAGAUAAACAGCCUACCCCUCUUGCCAAAGAAACCGGGGGUAGAAACAAACAGGCUACCCCUCAUGCCAAUGAAACCGUGGUUAGUAACCAGCCUCCUCCUCAUCAAACCAAACAGCAGCCUCCUCCUCCUCAAAAGAAACAGCAGCAGCCUCCUCCUCCUCAAAAGAAACAGCCUCCUCCUCAAAAGAAACAGCCUCCUCAAAUCAAAGAGGUUAGUAUCAAAUCCAGGGUUAACUAGUUGUCCAGACGACUGUAAAAGUUGUCUGGACGACUAGUUGACCCUGGACGACUUAAACGUAAGUUGUCUGGACGACUAGUUGACCACGGAAGACUUAAUUUUAAGUCGUCCAGGGUCAACUAGUCGUCCAGACAACUUUUAUUUAAGUCGUCCAGGGUUAACUUGUGUGCAACUUUUAUUGCAGAGAUGGUUGCCGGAGGAUACAGCAACCGAGGCGAACUCGGUAAAUAAGAUCUUGCCGGAGGAUAAAGCAGAUGGUGUCACCUCCAAAGAGAUUGUUGCUGUCACUUCCACCGAUCACCAACCGAGCCUCGCUUCCACCGAUCAACAACCGAGCCUCGCUUCCACCGAGCCAAGCGAUCCAGUUUCAGAACCGAGCCUGGUUGUAUUGGACAAGCGUGCAAAGAGUAAACGAGCGAAGAAACCUGCUCCCACUGUGAGAUCUCCUUAUACGGCAGAGAAAAAAAAAGAUAAAGUGGCAGCCUAUAAUCCAUUUCCGCCAGUAAACAAAGAUAAGUUGAAGGAACUCGCUGAUUGGUUGAAAACUGAUCCGUAAGUGAUUGCUUUACCCAUAAUAGCUUGAUUUAGUCGUCCAAAACUGAUUGCUUUUUUGUUUGCAGUCAUUAUUUAACUAAGACCGAGGACAAACCACGUACAUCACCAACAAGGUGGUACCACUUCCUCCGGACAGCCAGAGGAUGGCUGGAAGACUGCGUAAGUCUUCUGCACACGAUUUAAGUCGUCUACAAAGUCGUCCAAGUAGACUACUUUCCAGACGACUUAAAGAUAAAUCGUCUGGAAAGUCGUCUACUUGGACGACCACGUAGACGACUUAAAUAUAAGUCGUCUUCGUCUGGUAACUUCUAACUUGUUAUAUUUAAUAUGCAGCAUAUAGAUGCUUGGAUUAAUGUGCUAAGGCAGAGGUAUCAGGAGAACCCACAAGCUUUCAGGAGCGAGCGAAUGUGCUUCCUGGAUCACAACUUUUCUCAGUCUUGGAGAGAGCAGUAUCAGCUCUUCAAAACAUCGGAACCUGAUCACAAAGGUUUAGGAAGAGUUCUACCUGGUGGGGCGUCGUAUUUUUAUGACGGAUCAAUACCUUCAUUUUGCCAAUCAAACAAGAAGUGGGGGGAGGACAUUGAUGAUAUCUAUGCGCCAGUGAACUUGGACGACAAGCAUUGGGUUGCUAUUUGGAUAUCGAUCCCUAAGAGGCACAUAGUCGUCUGGGACAGCAUACCUUCAUCUAGUGUACCAGACGCAUGGGAUGCGAUAAUGGAGCCUUUUCUCCAGAUGGUCCCUUAUCUGCUUGUUGAGUGCGCAGCCACCGACGAAAUGCGGGUCAAAUACGGGUUGGAGCCAUACACAUAUGAGAGACCUCUGAAAGGUGUACCCACGGCCAACAAUGGUGAUUGUGGCGUGUACACUGUAAAGUACAUUGAAUGUCAUGCGCUCGGGGGCUCCUUUGACCCUAAAGACUUUGCUAGGUGCAACGCGAAGAAAAUGAGGGAUAAUAUGGCGGUGGAUAUAUGGAAGGAGCUUGUUGAUCAGCAUCUGAAAGAAAAUGUGGAUGGUGAUAAGUUCGUGGGCAUGUAUGAUUAGAUUUGUAUUUGAACAUGAUUUUUUAACAUGAGUUUUGUAUUUGAACAUGAUUUUUUAACAUGAUUUUUGUAUUUGAACAUGAUUUUUUAACAUGAUUUUUGUAUUUGAACAUGAUUUUUUAACAUGAUUUUUGUAUUUGAACAUGAUAUAAGUUGUCUGGAAGAAAUAAGUCGUCUGGAAGGUUUUCCAACUGGACGACUUACAAAUAAGUCGUCUAGAAGGUUUGGACGACUUAUUAUAAGUCGUCUGGAAGGUUUUCCAACUGGACGACUUACAAAUAAGUCGUCUAGAAGGUUUGGACGACUUGAAGGGAUAGUAGAAGGUCGUCUAAAAAUAAAAUACACUUGAAGGGAUAGUAGAAGGUCGUCUAAAAAUAAAAUACACUGGACGACUUAGUAGAAGGUCGUCUAAAAAUAAAAUACACUUGAAGGGAUAGUAGAAGGUCGUCUAAAAAUAAAAUACACUGGACGACUUAGUAGAAGGUCGUCUAAAAAUAAAAUACACUGGACGACUAAAAAUUUAGUCGUCUGGACGGGUAAUCAAGACUGGACGACUUAAAUUUAGGUCGUCUGGACAACUAGUCAACUGGUUGUGUACAUUGUGGUUUCGUAUGGCCAGUUUCCUUGCAGUUUGAGCAUCUCCGUGCCCUGUGUUUCUUCCUGGGUUUGUGUCCUCUCAUCCUAGAUAGCUCCAACCAAGAUUGCCAUCUUGAUUUCUUCGGUCUCCCCCGACCACGCUUUAGUUCUGGAGGAAAGCAUUCUCGUUCCUCAAUAUGUUGUGACACGAUAGGAUAUAUAUUCUCUGAGUAUCCUGCAUACAGAUAAUUCUUUGAGUACAGUGGACAUACAAGUGUGGAGAUAUGCAAACCAGCAUGUAUUCCAGCAGCUAUAGCAUGAGAGCAAGGUAUUUUCUCCACUCCAUAGACACCACAAUCACACUUUGCAUGUUCCAAAUCAACCACACAGUCCAUUUUGCCACCUUUGACAAAGAAAUGCCAUCCAUCAAUUGGUUCAACCGUCAUCGUACCCGCUAUCUCUUCUCGAACAGCAAGCAAGUAUUCAACACCCCCGCUAUGUUCAGUUGUGAGACUCAAAGCAUCUUGUCUCCUUUUCCAAUACCAUUUUCCUAACUUCUGCCUUAUGAACUCCAGCAGGAACGUAAUCGGAAAUCCUCUUGCUCGCUUCAGUGCGGAAUUAAUAGAUUCAGCAAUGUUGCUUGUUUUUAUGUUGAACCUGUUCCCCUUACAAUAAACCCUUGACCAUAGCCUGACGUCGGCUUUCUCCAAAUACGUUGCAAGUUCCGGGUUUGCACUCCGUAUCUCAGCCAUGUACCGGUCAAAAUCGUAAACCGUGUGAGCAUAAGCAGCCCCUUUCACCAAGUACAUGAGAUGUUUCCCUUUAAACUUUUUGACAAUGUUAUCUUGAAGGUGAUAAUAACAUAUUCCUCGGGUUGCCCAAGGAAACACCUUAUCACACGCACUUUUAAUGGCCUUGUGCCGGUCGGAGACUAUCACCAGAGGCUUGUCAUGAGAUAUACAACUAGCCAAUUUUGUGAAAAACCAUUCCCAAGAAGGUAUAUCUUCCUCAUCCACGAUCCCAAAAGCCAAUGGGAAUAUCUGAAAAUUGCCAUCUUGUGCGGCUGCAACUAACAUAGUUCCUCCAUACUUUCCACUUAGGUGAGUUCCAUCCACCACAAUGACCCUUCUCUGAUACUUAAAACCUUUGAUAGAAGCUCCAAAAGAGAGAAAUAGAUACUUAAAUCUUUUCAUAGAAUCAAGUUCUAUCGCCGUGAUAGAAUCAGGAUUUGCAAUGGAGAUUUGCUCGAGAUAUGAUGCCAGACGCGAAUACCCUUCUUCUGCUGAUCCUCUCACCAAUCUUUGUGCAUAUAACAGUGCUCUGUAUGAAGUGGUGUAAUCAAGCGCCAUGCCAAACAUGUUCCUCAUUGCAUCAGUGAUAUGCUGCGGAGUUAUCCCAUCAAUGAUUCCAACACGAUCAAUGAAAAGACUACCUACAUACUUCGGAGUACAGUGUCUCCGCUGAGCGAUUCGGUCUCCCGCUGAGCAUAAAUGUUUUUCCACAUACUUUGUUACCCAAAACGUGUUUGUCCCAUGUUUGACACUCGCUCUGACCUUCCAUCCACAAUAGCUAACCGGACAUGUUGCCACAACGAGAGUUUUCGUUGAUUUGUAUAAUCUGAAAGAAAACUUACCCCUCACUGCUGCCAACCGCAGCUCUGAAAGCAGUGCACCCUUGCUAACAAAACUCUGGUUGACAUAGAUACUGGUACCAUUCGAUUUUCCUCCUUCAAUAGCAUUUGUCUUAGCAUAUGUCUUUUGGAUUUCUUCAAAACAAAUAUUAUCAUCAUCUUCCUCGUCCUCAUCUGGAACCUUUCCAUAAAGACUGUAAUCCCCACCAUUCUGAUCCGUUUCACCAACAAUAGAAUUAUCAGCAUCCUCCUCCCCAUUUUCCUCCUCCCCAUCUUGAUUUUCAUCUUCAACAAACUCAUUAUCACCAACAUCUUCAAAACAUUCAUCAGCUUCAUCAUCAUCACCAACAUCUUCUUCCCAUUCACCAGCUUCAUCAUCAUCACCAACAUCUUCUUCCCAUUCACCAGCUUCAUCAUUAUCACCAACAUCUUUUUCCCAUUCACCAGCUUCAUCAAUAUCCCUUUUCUCUGAAACCGUUUCGACCUUGCUGCGGCUUGAUACACAAAGACAUACUCUAUGGGUUUUGAGUAUCUCCAGCAAGUUUCGAACUUGUCUAUCACUUGUAACAUGAAUGGGAAGACUGCCUGGAGCCAUCAUCAUUUCUGCUGGUAAUGAGUAGCUAAUCUCCACACUCACUGUUCUCAUGUCCAGGUUAUAAUCUUCUUGAGCCAUUGCAACAAGUUCAGCAUGUGUUGAAUCUUCAUUCAAUAAAAACAAUCUUGCUCCUUUGAGAUCAUCAACCACAAAAUCCCAACGGAAAUCUCUCAACAACCAUUCUCCAUACACUGCAUGUAACUGAAAAAUCAUCUGCAAAUAUUCAAAAUAAAACACAUUAGUAAACAUAGAGAAAAUGAAGAAGUUCAAUAAACAUUGCCGCAGACGACUUAGCAUUAAGUCGUCCAGAAGACUUAAAGGUAAGUCGUCUAAAGAGGUCACUUUUGCAAUUGAAAAUUAAAAGGGACGACUUAAUUCUAAGUCGUCCGGCUUUGUUUGUUAAAAAAAAAACUUCAGACGACUUAUAUAUAAGUCGUCUACGAGAAACGGGCUAGUUUUGCAUUUGACCGAAUCGUGUCAGAUCUUUGACUAUUUCUGGACGACUUAUAAUUCAGUCGUCUCUGGGAAAGUUAAAAUUUCAAUAUUUUAUGAAAACUUGACGACUUACGUGUAAGUCGUCCUAGGUUAGUUUUGUAAUUGAAAAAUAAAACUUGAAAUUUAACUUUCUCCAGACGACUUAGAUGAAAGUCGUCCAGCUAAACGACUUAAUUUAAGGUCGUCCGGGAUAAGCAAGGUUUGACCAGAAAAUUGGGAAAAAUUCUGGACGACUUCGCUUUCCCCGGACGACUUUAAAUUAAGUCUUCUGGAGGGACGACUUUAUAUUAAGUCGUCUGGUUAAAGUUAAAUUAUGAAGUUUUAUUUUUCAAUUACAAAACUAACCUAGGACGACUUACACGUAAGUCGUCAAGUUUUCAUAAAAUAUUGAAAUUUUAACUUUCCCAGAGACGACUGAAUUAUAAGUCGUCCAGAAAUAGUCAAAGAUCUGACACGAUUCGGUCAAAUGCAAAACUAGCCCGUUUCUCGUAGACGACGUAUAUAUAAGUCGUCUGGAGUGUUUUUUUUUAACAAACAAAGCUGGACGACUUAAUUUAAGUCGUCCGUUUGACCAGAAGACUCAUCAGUAAGUCUUCUACAUACAGAUGACUUACUAGUAAGUCUUCUACGCGAACAGAUCUUGAAAAAAAAUUCAAAUUCGUACCUUAAACUAGGUGAGAUGACUUUGUUUGCACACAAGGUCUUCUCCAACCACCCAGAACCUCAAACGAAAGCAACCGUAAGUCAAAACGAAAGAAAUAUGGCUCUGUCAACCAUAGCCCAUAUUUUGAAUCAAAAGCUUGAGUUUUUUGGAUGAAUAUAGAGAGAAAGUGAAAGAAAUGUUGUUUUUAGUUCAUAACAAUUGAAACAGAGAGAGUGUAAAGAGAUUUACGUGCAUUAAAGGGCAAUAAAAGCUCCAAACAGUUCGUACAAGGUUGUUGCCACUAUUCAUUGCAGUGGCAAUAUUGUAAAUACUUGAAGAAGAUGAGGUUGAGACAGUAAAGAAGCCAUUUUUGAAAAAAAAAAAAAAAAAUGUUAAUGGCAUUUUCGUAGAUAAAAUGCAGGUGUGGGGUUAAAAUCUCAAAAAAAAAAGGAGUCAAAAGAAAAGGUUAGUUUUCUGUUUGACUCCAAGUUUUGAGUCACUUUUGCAAAAAGCCCUAAAAAUAAUUUAUAAAUUUUGUAAAAACUAUUUUGUUAGAGAAAAAAUUGAAAUCAUGUAACUAUAAACAUUUGUAAGUGAUAUAAACUAAAAUAUAAUAAAAUUGAAUUGUUUUUAAUAUAGAUGAGUGAAAAUAGUGAGUCAUGAUAUUCUUUGGUUUAAGGUUUGACAACAUAUGUUGUAGUAUUGUAUGUAUUCUUAGAGUUAGAUUUUGGAAACUUAAUAUUUUUUGGAAAAAUUAAAUUUUGACAUAUACAUAUUUAGUUUUUAUAUAUUAAAUAUUUUUUAAAUUUAAUGAAAUGUUUGUUUCUAUUUAAUUAGUUAUUUGAGUUUAAGAUUUAUAUUUAGUGUCUAGACGACUUCCACAAAGUCUUCUCUGAAAAUCUUAUAACUCCCGCUAAAAAUAUUUUACUUUCCCGCUAAAAAUAUUUUAGUUUCUAGAAGACUUAAUUGAAAUUCUUCUAGGAAGUUUUCUAUUAGAAGACUUAAAUCGAAAAAAAUUAACCUUAUUAGAAUUUUUGUCUCCCUUUAUAAAGAAAAUUUACACAUUCUCUAUUUUCCUCUCAAAAGACUGCAACAAAAAUGUUAUGUUUCUUAUUCUAAAACUUUCAAACCUCUCUCUAAUCUCUUUGAACUUAAAAAUACCAAACUUUAUAUCAAUUUAUAGUUAUUUCAUGUUUCUUAUUGAUUUAUUUUGUUUUUGCAGAUUUUUCAUUUCAUGGUUCUUAUCUUCCACUCUUUUAAGGGUAGAUCUAUAAAUCUUAUUUUUCUUAUUUGGUAACCUAUUGUUGCUUAAAGAUUUUACCUUUUGAAAACUCUUUUGGUUAUUUUAAAUUCGUACUUUAUUUUUGAAGUUUUUCUAUGUUUUGAACUUUUGGAUAUGCAGGUUUUUUCAGAGCUGAGACAGACAUGGAAGACUUCCAUGGAAGACUUCCAGGGAAGACUUCUCGGAAGUCUUCUACCAUUUAAUGCACUAGAAGAUUUCCUGGAAGUCUUCUGGCGGAAUCUUCUCCCAUGUCUCCUCGUUCAUUUCAGAUAUGAGUGUUUUGGUAAGUAUAUAUGUCUAGAUUUUUCUUCAUUUGGUAACCUCUGGUUGCUUAAACCUUUUAUAUUUUUUACAAUUUAUCAUUUUUUUUGUAAACACCAAACUUUAUAUCAAUUUAUCAUUUUUUGUCUCAUGUCAUUCUCACUAAUUCAUCUUGUUUUGUAGAUUUUUCAUUACAUGGUUCUCAUCUUCCACUCCGUUAAAGGUAAAUCUAUAAAUCAUAUUUUCUUAUUUGGUAAUCUCUUGUUGAUUAAAGCUCUUUCUUUUUGAAAAUUCUUUUGGUUGUUUCAAGCUUUUACCUUAUUUUUGAAGUUUUUAUAUGUUUUGAAGACAUUUGAAUGGUUUUGGAUAUGCAUGUUUUUUAGAUCUAAGACAUAUUUCCUUAAAAAAUCUUCCAAGUCUUCUCGGAAAUCUUCUAACAUUUAAUGUACUAGACGACUUCCUGCAAGUCUUCUGGAAGUCUUCUGACAAAGUUUUCUCCCAUAUCAAGUGGAGUCUAAGCUUGUCUUUGUGGAGGAAUGGGAUAUAAUAGUUUUAUUUAUGGUAUGUUUUGUAAUUUGUAUGUAUACUCUUUUAGUUGUGAAUUCUUUUGUAAAUUUGAAAAAAAUAUUAACAAUUUUUUUGGUAAAUAUGUUCAUGUCUACAAUAUUAUCUUGCCAAAAAUACUUGCAUUAUUAAAGUUAUUUAUACAACUUCAAUAGCAAAACACAAUAAUACAAAAAAAUUAGUCAAAUUUAUUACAACUAAUGGAGAAAACUUCUCAAGAAAACUUAGUCAAAUUCACAAAAGAUCAAACAUUACAUUAGUUCAAACAUAUAACAGUUUCACUAGAAGUCUUGUGGGAAGUCUUCGGGAAGAUUUCUUCUCAGAAAAAAUUUCGGAAGACUUAAAUUUCAAGCAGAAAAUUUAAAUAUAAGCGGGAAAUUUAAGCGGAAAAUUAAAAUUUAAGCGGGAAACUCAAAUUUUAAGUGAAAAUUAAAAUUUCAAAUUUCAUGAAAGUUAAAAAAUAUAUCUUAUGAUCUAAGAAGACACAUCAAACCAUAUGACUUGAUAUUCUUAAAGUUAUUUAACACUUUUGAAAAUUAAAAAAUAUAUAUAUCUUAAAGUUGAAAAUACAAGUUUUACAACAACUAAUGUAGAAAACUUAUGGGAAAGUCUUCUCUCAUUAGGUAGAAACAUUAAGAAGCAUGACUGUUGUUAACUUCAUAAUUAUCACCAAUUAAGUUAUGAAUUUCAUUCAUGAGCCCAAUACAUUAAUUAACAAGAAAAUGUUAAAAAGUCUUUAUAGUUUUAGAGAAAAUAAAAUUUUAUUAAACGUUGACGUAGACGACUUCCACGGAAGUCGUCCGGAAGACUUACACGGAAAUCUUCUGGUCAAUGCGUAGGUUAGUUUUGCAAUUGACUUUAUGUGUCAGAAAUUUGACUUUUCCUAGACGACUUACGGAUAAACAUGUUAGUUUUGCAUUUGACCGUACUGUGUCAGAAAUUUGAUUUUUCCUAAACGGCUUACACGAAAGUCGUCCAAAAGAAAAGUAAAAUUUAAAUAUUUAUAUUUUUCUAGACGACUUCCAUGUAAACCGUUUCAGGUUACUUUUGCAAUUGAAAAAUAAAACUUAAAUAUUUUAUUUUAUCCGGACGACUUCCAUCACAGAAGUCUUCUGACAAACGACUCACACAUAAGUCUUCUGUAAUAACCAAGGUUUGACUAAAAUCUCGGAAUAAAAUCCUGGAAGACUUCCAUGUAAGUCUUCCGACAGACGACUUACAUAGAAGUCUUCUGUAAUAACCAAGGUUUGACUAGAAUAUCGAAAUAAAAUCCUGUAAGACUUUCGUGUAAGUCGUCUACCGGAAGACUUAUAUGGAAAUCAUCUGGAUAAAAUUAAAUAUUUAAGUUUUAAUUUUCAAUUGAAAAAGUAACCUGAAACGACUUAUUUGGAAGGUGUCUAGUAAAAGUUAAAUAUUUAAUUUUUAUUUUUCUGUUGGACGACUUCCGUGUAAGUUGUCUAGGAAAAGUCAAAUUUCUGACACAAUCCGGUCAAAUCCAAAACUGACAUGUUUAUCCUAGACGAUUUACCGGGAAGUCUUCUUUAAUUUUUUUGAAAACAAAGAAAACCGGAAGACUUCCAGAUAAGUCGUCUAGAAAAGAUACACAUAAAGUCAAUUGUGAAACUAACAUAUGCAUUGACCAGAGCAAAACUAACACAUGCAUUGACCAGAAGACUUCCGUGUAAGUCUUCUCGUCGGAGAAGACUUACACGUAAGUCUUCUGACAGACAGAUCUGGAAAAAAAAUUGAUUUCAUAACUUUAACCAGUGAGAUAACUUGUUUAGCUUCUCCAACCACACAAUACUUCACCACCAAAGCAACCUACUUGACCACGAAUCAUGAGCUUGAAUGGUUCGAAGAACCUUAAUAAUUUUAGAAUCAAAAUCUUGGGUUUUAUUAGAUGAAUAUAGAGAGAAAGUGAAACAGAUGUUUUUUUUAGUUCAUAAGAAAUAAGAUAAAGGAGUAAUCGAUUUUUAGGUGCAUUAAAAGCUUCAAAUUGGUUGUUCAUGGUGGUUGGUGUAUUGAUGGCAAUGACAAUAUUGUAAAUACUUGAAGAAGAUGGAGAUGAGAGAGUAAAACACUUAUUUUCGAAAAGAAAAAAAUAAUAAUAGCAUUUUCGUAAAUAAUCCGAACUUUUGGAGUGAAUAAGGCAAAUGAAAGUUCCAAAAAAACGUGGAUUAGUUUUGUGUUUGACUUCGAGUUUUGAGCCAUAUUUGCAAAAAUUAAAAUGAAAAAUUUGGAGUAACUAUUUAUUAAUAUAUAGAAAUAUAAAAGGUAUAGUAAAAAGUUAAAAUGUUAAAAUUAAAUUGAUAUCUAUAUUAACUCACUAAAAGUUUACAUCAAUAGAUUUUUACAGAAAAAGUUCACAAGUUUAUUUUUAGAAUAUAGUCUACAUGUUAUUGAGAAUGUUCAAGUAAACUUGUAAAAUAUAAAAACAAAUAUGGAAAAUUAAUGUCAUAAUUUAUUUAUUUUUAAAAUAUCAAUAUUUUUCAUAGAAGCAAAAUAUUUUCUUAAAUGUGAAAUAUUCAGUCAACAUAAAAAUAUUUAAUGUAUUAAAAAUACAAAAAAAAAUUAUUAAUAUAUAUAAAUUUAAAAGGUAUAGUAAAAACUAAAAACAAAUGUUAAAUUAAUUUGCUAUCAAUAUUAAUUUACAGGAAAAUUAGCAUCGAUAUAUUUUAACAGAAAAAAAGUUCACAAGUUUAUUUUACGAUAUAGACUAUAUGUUAUUGAGAAUGUUCACAUAGACUUUAAAAAUAUCAACAAAAUAUGAAAAUAACCAUUAUAAUUUAUUUCUUUUUAAAAUAUCGAGGGUUUUCAAAAAUAAAAAAAAUAUUACUAUGAAAUAAAAUGAACAUAAACAUCAAAUAUUGUAAACAAACAAAGAGAAAGUUAUCAAAAAUGAAUUAACUUGAUGUAGAUUUUUAUUCUGUAGAAGAGUAACAUUAAAAGAUAUUAAUAAAAACAUAAUAUAUCAUAUAUACCAAAAUAAAAUAGAUAACUAAUCUAUCAAAAUUAACCUAAUAAAAAAAUUAAAAGAAAAUUAAGAUGAAUUUUUGUAUGGGAACUUUUCUUAUUUCAAAAUUUUUGGUAUCAAUUUAAGUAAUAAUCUAAAUUUGGCAUCGUACUGAGUUGUUAAAUGCCAAUGAGUCUGAGAUGGUUGCAGUUAAAGAGAGGUUGCGGGAAAAUGUGGAAGAUGUCAGUUUCUGGAGAAGAAGCUCGGGUUUUAACGAUAAGUUUUCUACCCAGGAGACUGGUUUUUAACUCGUACCUCUGAUGCUCAUAUUGAUUGGGUACAAGCUGUUUGGUUCUUGCAGAUUACACCCAAGUAUGCUUUUAUUACAUGGUUAGCCAUGUUGGAUAGGCUAAGUACUAUGGACAGGGUUGCGAGAUGGAAUAGUGGUGUUGAUGUUACUUGUGCUCUUUGUAAGAAUGCUGCAGAGUCUCGUAGUCAUCUGUUCUUCGAGUGCUCUUACUCUUCUCAGAUAUGGGAGCAUCUUAUGCUUGGCAUCCUUAGGGGUUCGUAUACAAUUGACUGGAAUGCAAUUGUGGCUUUUCUUAAACAGUCUGAUAGAGAUAAGAAGAGAUCCUUUUGUUUGAGAUAUGGCUUUUAAACCAUCAUCUAUGUGAUAUGGCGUGAAAGGAAUAAGAUUAAGCACGGAGAAAGUCCAUUGCCUAUGAAUGCAGUGAAGAAGCUUAUUGAUAAGAGAGUUAGGAACAAGUUAAGCCUACUGAGAUCAAGAGGAGGUAAGGGUAUGGAAUCUGCCCUUCAAUAUUGGUUUAGCACAAGGACAUGAGGUUUGGAGGUUUGGGAAUACUUUGGAGGUUUGGGAGGGUUUGAAGUUAUUGAGUUUAAAGAUAGGAUUUCCUUUGUUAAGGUCUACACUCUGAUGUAAAAAAACUUUUUUGAUGAAUAAAAUUUAACAUUCAUUCAAAAAAAAAAAAUCUAAAUCUAUAUAUAUAAAAAAAUAUUUUCCUCCCUCCUAUUGCGCCACGUCAUAAAGUCAUUGAUUGUGAGUGCGACACCUGUCUUCUUUGCCUAAAACUCAUCGUUUCAUUAACUUAUGAUGUGGGCUGCUGCGUUUCAUAAUUGUUUACGAUUUAGUGGGCUUUUUGUUCACACCGUGAUAUAGCCCAAAUACAGAGAGAUAGCCACUAUAAUGAAAACAUAUGUAAAGACUGAAACUUUUGAAACGAGAAGGAAAAGAAGGAGUGUACCGUGAGUUUCUGGAUGCUACUGACUUCGCCUUGGUUGGAGGCGAUAUCAACGGUGACGGUUCAUUUCGCUGCCACCUCUGGUAACUCAAUAACAUUCAAGAUUUUAAAAUUAUUGGCGAUGGGUUUUGCAGAGUAUGAAGAGGCAGAGGGAAGAGGAUGAUGAGCAACAACAGUGAAGAGGUUAAAAAAGAAAAUUGAACCAAUUAAUAAAAAUAUUCCACAGUUUAAGCGGCGAGUAAAUCAGAUCGGUUUCUCAAUUCCGCUAUGACUCGAUCAAGAGAGAAAUAUAGUUUUUUCCAAAGAAACAUAGAUAUUAUCAAAGCAAAGAUUGCUCCGAACGAAUCAUAAGAAGAUAAGGAAGCAAUCAAAGGUUUUUAUUUCAUUUUUUAAUUAGUUAUUUGGAGUUAACAUGAAUGGAAGUGCCAUACACGCGCAGAGACAUGCGUGUUGGUGGGAUAUGAGAUACAUAUUUUAAACUUAAAAGGGAAAAAGACAGGAAGCAAUGCGUUCUAUGCACAUUGGGUCUUUUCUUUUGAGCCUUUUGUUUCAAAUAAAAACGACAGGACAUAACCGGAUUUACUUCGGUUUAAUUUAGAUUCGAUUCAACUUAAAUGCAUGCAUGAUUUUAAGCUACACAAGUUUUAUUCAAUAAAUAAACCAACAGAAAAUUUUAUUGUAAGAAAUUGGGUUAAUUGGAAUUCAUAAGGCAGAAAACAAUAAAUAAUUAAAAAUAAUUUUAUAAUUAUCUAGCUACUUAUAUUUAUAUAAUAUUUAUAUAUCAAAAUAGCAUAAAUAUACGAUUAUAAUUAAUAUUUAAAUAAAAAAUCCGGGCGUAAUUAACCCGGGCCGACCCUAGUUUAUAAUAUAUUUCAAAGUAUCUAAAAUAAACUAAAACGACUGAUGAUUUUAGUUCUUUUCUUUCUACCGAUCCACUUCAUUCUUUAGCUUUCAAUGAGUUUACAAAACUUUUGUUGAAAAACCACAGAUAAGAACAAUAUUGAGACACAUAUUGUUAAAAAGAUAGUUUAUCAAUGAGUUUAAGCUGUUUUUUAUCAAUCAAAAGGAAUUUAUAAAGUUGUUUUUAAUAGUCAACACUAUUAUAUUAUGUUUUGAGACAAUCAAAACCUUCAAACAAAUCAAAUAGGGUAUUAUGAAGUAAACUUAAAGAUGGGUGUACUCUAUACUUUAUUUUUUUAAAUUACAUCAUUAACAAUACAGCAAAUUACAUGUUAACUUCUUAUAAACAUAUAAUCCGAGUAACCAAUAAAAAGUAUAAAAUGAAUGCUUAUGUCAAUUUUAGUGAAGAAACCCGUACAAUAUAUAAAAUUAAAGAUGGUCUCAGACGAGUUUGUCAAACAAAUAUAUUUAGAGGAUAAUAUUUAUAAGAUAGGUGAAAAAUAAUCAAAAUAAACUUUCUAAAUAAGUUUCUAAAAUUACAGAAAGUAAAUAUAGACUCCACAAAAACAUAAGAGAGUGAUAUAAAAAUAGUCAAUAUACUAACAACAAAGUAAAAACAGUGAAAUUUUACAAAAUUCUAUAAAAAGUUCAAAAUUAAAAUAAUUAUGCCAUGUAAGAAAGGGCCCCUGUAAGAAAUCUACUAAAACUUUACUCUAAAUUACCAGAUGAAAGCAAUUGUCAGGAUUCAAAAAGUCUUAAGAAGCUUCAUGUAUUAUAAAAAUAUUUACAAUAGUAUUCUAGUUAAAUAAAGCUAUGUAUUAAAACAUUUAUCUUAAAUAUUUAUAAUCUUUAUCAUAAAUCUUUACAAUAUCUGUAAAUCUUAAUUUAAAAUUAAUUAAACAAUAAAAUUUCAACUAAAAUAUGUGCAAAAAAAUAUAAAAGAUCACACAUUUAUUGUAUAACUCUCAUAAGUAAAAAAGUAAAAUAAAUAAUAUGCAUAUAAAUUAAUCGUUUAUAAAAUAAGUAAAAAUUAUAAAAAAAAAUAUUUGCAAUAGUAUAGUAGCGGUUUAUAUGCAUUGAGUAAUUUAUACAGUAUUUAAAAAAUGGCAAUUCUCUCAAAUAGACUUUUUUAAGUUUUUAUCACAAAAAUAGCCCUCAAAAAAUAAAAUGACCAAAAUAACCUUUUUAUUUUGAAAAUUUUAAUAUUUUUUUUAUUUUUAAAAAUUUGAAUCUAUCCCCAAAGCCCAACCCCUUAACUCUAAACCCUAAGUCUUAGAUUAGUUAACUCUAAGGGUAUAAAUGCAUAUUUACCUUUCAAUAAAAUUUCUUUUGGUCAUUUUCUUUCUUGGAAGUCUAUUUUUGUGAAAAUAAACUAAAAAGGGCUAUCUAAGAGAAUUUCUCUUUAAAAAAUAAAAUUUUAUAUAAUAAAUAUAAAAAUGAUUAUAAAUAAAAUUUUAGUUUUAAAAAUACAGACAAAUAUAUACUAAAUAGUAAUUAUUUUCAAGAGUAUAAUUUUAUAAACAAAAUAAACGUAACUAGUAAAUUAUUAUAUUAUAUUUUAAAUAAAUUUUCCAAGAAAUAAAAUUUAUAUAAAUAAAAAUUUAUAAAUCAGUUCUAGUUGAAAACUUUUUUUAAAAAAAUUUAAACAAAAUUAUUAAUACAGAUUCGUGCGUAGCGAACAUAAAAUAUAGUUCACAUAAAAAGAUUAUGUGAUAGGAAAUUAUCGCUCAAGAUUGGUCCCAAGCAUAGGCUAUUGAAACACUGGCUUAUAAUUUCCAAAAUAUUAGGAAAAAUUUACAUAUAUAUAGAUCUUUAAAUUUGCAAAAAAAAAGAUUAUGUAAUUUUUUUUUAAAUUAACUACAACCUCUAAAAUUUCAGGUAUGCACUACUAUGAUAACAUAAAAGAAAGUUAGAAACAACAAUGAAAUACGUCAUUUCUUGCGGCCCUUUUACAAACAAAACAAAGCCAUCCCGUAAGGCACGCAUGAGCCACUUGCGGCCCUUUUUACACACAAACAAAACCAUCCCACAAGGCACGCAUGAGUCAUUAGCAAUGAACAAUAGUGCCAUCGUAAAAAAAAACAGUAGCAAAAUCGAUAAAAUAGGAAAGUUCAAAAUAUAGUUGUACUUGUGAUUUGCACCAGAAGUUUCAAUGGUUUUUCUCAUAGUGCCUUAUGUAAAGAACAGUUUUUAUAAGUAAUACCUAGUACGUACUGUAUAUAUAUGUAUUAAGCACAGCAAAGUUAUCACCGGUUCUAAACUUUUUCUUCGGUUCUAAUAUUCUCCCUCUGAACGAAACUAAUAUCCAAACAUGCAAAGAAUCGGGAGGAUUGGGAAGGUCAAAGAAAAUAACACACGACCGGUAAAUGUGGAAGAAACACGAGAAUAGUGGUGGUUUUGGAGACGGAAGAAAGAGAAACGGUAAACCAAGUCAUCUUGGUCUAGUGGUAAAAGGAUUCCAGUUGGAGUUUUCGUUCUGGUUUCGAGUAGCAUUAGCCACCUGUAGACACUCUAAGUGGCGAGAAAACUCGGAUUUCUAUGGACCUCGUAGGAUUAUUCUUUGGGCUUAAAAAGCCUUUGAAAUCCCCACGAUUAUCAGAAGAAAAAAAAAUAGUACAAGCAAAACCAUAAAAAAAGGAAGAAGAGAGAGAAAGAGGAGAGUUCUCGUACGGUACGGUAGACGAAAGGCCGUACUGACGAUGGAGGUUAAAUCUCAUCCUAAACGGGUUGAGAGAGUUUCACCUUUUGUUUUUACCGCAAACUCAGUGUACUCCUCAGUAUAGUUAAACAGUGAUAAUAUCUAGAUAAUAAAAGUAUAGUGAUCAGUUUAAUCGGAUGUAUUAUGUUGAAGCAAGUACAUCGCAUCAAUUGGGUCAUAUCAAGUGUGUCACAUAAAGUUUAUGGAUCUUACAUCUGAUUGUUGAGCUUAAGGCCGUGUAUCUGAUGAGCCCUAGAGUUUUAGGAUGCGGAAUAACUUUUAUAUAUAUCAUGUAUUCUUGUAAUCCUAAAAUAAAUUGAAUAUUGCCUCCAAAUAACAAAAAAAAAUUAUUUCUAGGCAUAGCCAAAUUGAUGAACCACAUUACAUAUAUUGUUGUAUCUUUGUUCAUAUAUAUUGUUGUGUCUUUGUUACAUCAUUUUAUCAUUUGUUUUAAUGCAACAUCACGACCAGUCUUAUGUUUUAAGAUUUGAGUUACAGUUAUAAAUAAAGUUUCUAUCAAAAAUACAAGUGAAAAUAAUAAAAUCCUAAACACUCCACGUACAGAUUUAUGUUAUAUGUUAUACUUUUUGUUUGUAUAUAAACUAUUAUUUAUAUUUCCAAAACCACCAUAGCAAUAUCUUAUUCUUAUUUCUACAAAUAAACAAUAUUAUCAACUUCAUCUAAUUUUGUGUUAGUCAAAUAUUUUUAUUUCCUUUCUUGUUCCUAUUUUUGAAUUAUUAGUUUUAAAAUUAUUAUUUUACAUAAUCUUAUUAGUUGUAAAUUCUUUUGGAUUGGAAAUAUAUAAAUUAUUUUGUUAUUGAUAUCGGAUAAAUAAUAUCAUCAGUAAGUAUAGUUCUUAGAAGAAUAUAUAUUGCAACUUAUUUUUGUUAAAAAUUAUUUUUAUACAUAUUAAAAAUAAGUUUUUAUUAUUUAUUUAUUUUUAAAUAGUUUAAUAGUUUUUGUUAUUAAUAAUAAUUCAUUAUUAUAUAUUUAUAUUUAUAUUUAUUUUAUUAAAAACUACUCUGGAACUUAUACAUCAAAAAUGUUACCAGUCAUCAGUUUUACUAAAAUAGUAACUCUUGUUUUUACUAAAAAUUUACCAUAUAAAAUUACAGUUUUUAUCACAUAAUUUUUACUGCAAGUUAUAUCGAAUUGUAAUACAUAUUGCAACUCGACUUCAAUAUUAUAUAUCAACAAACGGAGCCUUUGUUUCCAUAUAUCUGUAACAACAUACUAUCUCAUGUUGAGCAUAGGUAGACUUAUGUGAACAAAAGUCUUUAAUGUUUGUCUCAGGUGAAGAGAAGUCUCAAAACCAUAGUAUUUACGGGAAAAAAUCAAAUGUGUGUGGGAAAACCAAUGUAACUUGCAAACAAAAUAUACGUUAAUAGAAAUUUGGACUUUACAUAAGUACAGCAAAUAGUCUUUAGUUAUGAAUUAAAAGGCUAUAUUCACUAUUUCACUUAGUUAAUGGGUUUCGAACAUCAUUAUGGUUUUCUUAACACCACAUGGCAUGAAGAUUCUAUGAGAAUCUAAGAAUGAAAUGAUUAAGAUAGAACUUGAGUAGAUUAUGAGAGAUUAUGAAGAGUUUAGUGUAGAAUCAUGAUUGAGAGAGUAUGAUAAGAUAAAGAGAAACUCAGAACUGUAUAUUUAUUAUUAAUGACAAGAGUUGCAAUAUAUAGUGAGAGAUCAGUAGGGUUUUCGAAAUCAUAAAGGAUAGCUAAGCAUGUGAAGUCAACAAGGUUAGGAUAAGCUCUCUUUAACUCGGCCAAUCAGCGUUCCCACAUGCUUGGAGCAUCUAGGAUCUUGGACAAAGAUGCUCUUGCCUUUCCAGCUGUGCCAGCCUGUAAAGCCGCGCCUCUCUUAUCCUCCAACGGUCUGAUUCAUCAGCCAAAGCCCCUUCUCUUCCCAUAAGUUACUCGGGUAACUCCUUGUAACCGCGGUCAUGGUUUCACUGGUCUGAAUGUGUACGGACCGUACGGCCUUGUACGGCCUUGUACGGUCAGGCCACUGUGAACCUCUCCCAUCACACCAAUGCUUAACACACUCUCUUCAGUCUUAACCCCUUUGUACUUCACACUUGUAUACUCAACUCUUCUCAACACUCCCCCUCAAGCUUAGCUUUGUGAUACCUACAAGGGUAUUGAAGGAUCAAGCACCAUUUGAGGUACUGAACCAGCGCAAGCCAUCUUUGACAUAUAUGAGAGUGUUUGGAUGCUUGUGUUAUGUGUUGGUACCAGGAGAGUUGAGGAACAAGCUAGAAGCAAGAAGCAGAAAGGCAAUGUUCAUUGGCUACUCAACAACUCAAAAAGGAUAUAAGUGUUAUGAUCCAGAAGCUAGAAGGGUACUUGUAUCUAGAGAUGUGAAGUUCAUUGAAGNNNNNNNNNNNNNNNNNNNNNNNNNNNNNNNNNNNNNNNNNNNNNNNNNNNNNNNNNNNNNNNNNNNNNNNNNNNNNNNNNNNNNNNNNNNNNNNNNNNNNNNNNNNNNNNNNNNNNNNNNNNNNNNNNNNNNNNNNNNNNNNNNNNNNNNNNNNNNNNNNNNNNNNNNNNNNNNNNNNNNNNNNNNNNNNNNNNNNNNNNNNNNNNNNNNNNNNNNNNNNNNNNNNNNNNNNNNNNNNNNNNNNNNNNNNNNNNNNNNNNNNNNNNNNNNNNNNNNNNNNNNNNNNNNNNNNNNNNNNNNNNNNNNNNNNNNNNNNNNNNNNNNNNNNNNNNNNNNNNNNNNNNNNNNNNNNNNNNNNNNNNNNNNNNNNNNNNNNNNAACAAAGUAUGGUCUAGUUCAGACUUCCUGAAGCCUUUUCCAUUCAGUGUAGUACUCAGCUUGUGAUACCAGGCUCUAGGUGAUUGCUUCAAUCCAUAGAUAGCCUUCUUCAACCUUAGGACAUUCCCUGGCUUCACAAGACUCUCAAGACCCGGAAGAGGCUGCAUAUACACUUCAUCUUCAAGUUCCCCUUGUAGAAAUGCAUUCUUCACAUCCAUUUGCCACAAUCCCCAUUCAAGGUUGGUAGCAAUUGAUAAGAUGAUUCGGAUGGUGUGAAGCUUAGCCACUGGAGCAAAUGUGUCUAUGUAGUCCUCUCCAUAUGUCUGUGUAAACCCUCUAGCCACAAGCCUGGUCUUCUUCCUAUCAACUGUCCCAUCUGGUCUAUACUUGAUUGUAAAUAUCCAUUUACAUGACACUGCUCUCUUCCCUUUAGGCAGCUCACUCUCAUACCAAGUCCCAUUCUUGAUCAUAGCAUCAGACUCAUCCGCAACUGAGUUCCUCCAGUCUUCAUCCUUUAUAGCCUCCCCAUACGUUCUUGGUAUGUAGCUCUCAUCCAGACUUGUUAUGAAUGCACAAUGAUCCCUUGGAAACUCGGCAAAAGAGCACACUGCCUGACUUGGAUGAGCUACUGCUUGUGCAUUGUAGUAGACCCUGGUGUUUGCCCAGUUAGAUGGAUCUUUCCUUACUCUUGUACUCCUCCUCAGAGGCGCAGGCACACUCUCCACAACUGGAGCACUAGUCAUGUUCUCCAUUUCUUCUUCCUCUUCUUCAGGUACAAGUGGUGUACCUCCACUUUGAUCCCUUACUUCACUUGACUCUUCAUCAUUGAUCCCACUUUGAUCAUGACUAGCUGAGUCUCUUCCUUCUUCAUGUACCGCCUCAGACUUGUCUUCCCCCUCAUGAUCAAUGUGGGAUGUUUCUUCAGCUUCAUUCCUAGUAGGCGUCUCUUGCGCCUUUGGAUCCUGGGUUAGAUUAAUCCCAAGACCCUCUAAGAUCAUCCUAAGGCUUGUAGCCUUAUCAGAUGUUUGAGCUAGAUCCUUCAGAUCUUCCCAGCUCCUUUCUUCAUAGUAUCCUCUUGUUUCAAUGAACUUGACAUCUCUUGAUACCAGAACUCUUCUUGAUUCUGGAUCAAAGCAUUUAUACCCCUUUUGAGUAGUUGAGUAUCCCACAAACAUUGCUUUAGUACUCCUCGGUUCCAACUUGUUUCUCAUCUCCCCGGGGACAAGUACAUAACACAAACACCCAAACACUUUAAGAUGACUUAGAGAUGGCUUGGUCUUGUUCAAUACUUCAAACGGUGACUGAUCUUCCAAGAUUCUUGUAGGCACCCGGUUGAUCAAAUAGCACGCAGCUUGUACAGCAUCACUCCAAAAUCUCUUAGGUGCAUUGGUUUGGAACAUCAUGGAUCUAGCUACUUCCAUUAGGUGUCUAUUCUUUCUCUCCGCAACCCCAUUCUGUUGUGGAGUAUAAGGACAGCUUGUUUGAUGUAGAAUCCCAUGUAGAGCCAGAUGUUGCUUGAAGGCAUGACUUGUGUAUUCUCCACCAUUAUCUGAUCUGAAAAUCUUAAGCUUAGCAUUGUACUGGUUAGUUACAUAAGUCUGAAAAUUCUUAAAUGCUUCAAGAACUCUAUCCUUAGUCUUUAUAAGUGUUAUCCAGGUGUAUUUAGAUUUUUCAUCAAUGAAUGUGACAAAGUACUUAUAGUUUUCUCUAGAUAAGCAAGGAGCAGUCCAUACAUCAGAAUGUACAAGGUCAAAACACUUCUCAUAGAUAGUACUUGAUUUCUUAAAGACAGUCUUACAAUGUUUUCCCAAAAUACAUGCCUCACAAUCAUUAUUUUUAAACAUGACACCUGGUAACAUUAAGCUUAAGGCUCUAACAUGUGGAUGACCUAAUCUAGCAUGCCAUAAUGCAUCAUUAUUGAUACUUGAACUAGAACUAAACGAGCAAAUUGAACUGGAAAUAGGAGCUAAGUCUUCUAGCAUAUAGAGUUCUCCCUUUGUCACUCCUUUGCCAAUCAUCUUACUUGUCUCAAUAUCCUGAAACUUCACAUCAUUAGGACUGAAUAUAACAUUGCAAUGUAAAUCAGUAGUGCAUUUCUUAACAGAUAACAAGUUUGAUGUGAAUUCAGGCAUAUAAAGAGCUCUAGACUCUUUAUUAAACAGUUUUAGAUUUCCUAUUCCUGUUAUUGCAAUCCUAUCACCAUUAGCAAUCAUUACAUGACCCUGAGCAGGUUCUAUGUCUUUAAUCAAGCUAUUAUCACUAAUCAUGUGAUGGGAAGCACCUGAAUCUACAAUCAGUGAUUUUAUUACAUUAUGCGCAGCAAAGGUACUUGGUUGUCUCAGGUUAUCUAAUCUAGAUGCACCACUUAACUUGAAUUCAGGAUCACUACUGAGAUGAGCACAAGUCCUAUCUAGGUAUGAUGCAGCAAGAGAGUAACAAGGGUUAUUUCCAAUACAGUUACCAUUCUCCUUGAGAGCUUUGAUGAGGGCGUCUAUGUCUGAUCUCCGGAUCAACUCGCCUUCAGUGCUCCUCAAGGGUGUGUGCUGAGUAGUUAAGGCUCUCCCCUCACCCUCACGCAUUGCUGAGCCAGCCCCGGAUGAGCUAGCUUCUCCUCCUUCAUUAGAUAGGUGCGCCCUUGCCUCUCUAUCUUUCAUGAACUUAGCUGGCUUGAGAUGAGGAUGUAGGAUCCAGCACUGGCUCCUUUUGUGACCUAGCUUCUUGCAAUGAUCACAGUUGCCCCCAAACUUCCUCUCCUCACUCUUGUAUGCCGCUUUGUUUGCUUGAGCUCCAUCCGCAUGGUUAGCUAAGGUGAGCUCCCCCUUUCCUCCAAACAGCCCCACUGACCCUUCUUCUUUCUGUAUCUGAGCGCACACAUCUUCAAGUGAUGGUAGCUUUGGAGACCUCAGUAUGUGUUUGAUCAGAUCGUUAAAGAUAGGGUUCAAUGUCAGCAACAGCCCAAACACUUGAUCUUGAGCCCUCCUCUCCAUAAGAGUGUCAUGAUCAGUGGUGUUGGGUCUCAGCAUUUCUAGUUCAGACCAUAAGGCUCUGAACUUUCCCAAAUGCUUUACUCAACCUCUUCUUGCGCAAGUGUGUUGAUUGAUCUCUUCAACUCAAACACCCGGCUCAGAUUGGAUGUGUUCCCAUAGACCUUUUGAAGAGUAUCCCACAGGUCUUUUGGCGUCUCACAGUAGAUGUAGGCCUCCAAGAUUGAAGCUUCAAGCGACCCAUGAAGAACUGUCAACACCUUCAAGUCGUCUUGAUCCCACUUCUCUUGGUCCGCUACCAUCAGCUCUUGACCGCCUUCUCCCUCCGUAGAAACUGGCUUUGGAGUUCCAUCUGAGAUGUGACUCCACAAACCCUUGCUCCCAACUGCAGCUUUCACCAGGCGAGACCACAGCAAGUAGUUCCCACCUCCUUUCAACGUAACCGGAACCGUCAAAGUCUUGUUCUUGUCUUCCAUGAGUGUGACCGUGAGUAGAGAUGGUUUAGGAAUGAAGAUGGAGACUCUAGAGAUUUAGAAACCAGGAAAUGAGUAACCUGGCUCUGAUACCAUAUAAGAAUCUAAGAAUGAAAUGAUUAAGAUAGAACUUGGGUAGAUUAUGAGAGAUUAUGAAGAGUUUAGUGUAGAAUCAUGAUUGAGAGAGUAUGAUAAGAGAAAGGGAAACUCAGAACUGUAUGUUUAUUAUUAAUGACAAGAGUUACAAUAUAUAGUGAGAGAUCAGUAGGGUUUUCGAAAUCAUAAAGGAGAGCUAAGCAUGUGAAGUCAACAAGGUUAGGAUAAGCUCUCUUUAACUCGGCCAAUCAGCGUUCCCACAUGCUUGGAGCAUCUAGGAUCUUGGACAAAGAUGCUCUUGCCUUUCCAGCUGUGCCAGCCUGUAAAGCCGCGCCUCUCUUAUCCUCCAACGGUCUGAUUCAUCAGCCAAAGCCCCUUCUCUUCCUAUAAGUUACUCGGGUAACUCCUUGUAACCGCGGUCAAAGUUUCACUUGUCUGAAUGUGUACGGACCGUACGGCCUUGUACGGCCUUGUACGGUCAGGCCAAUGUGAACCUCUCCCAUCACACCAAUGCUUAACAUACUCUCUUCAGUCUUAACCCCUUUGUACUUCACACUUGUAUACUCAACUCUUCUCAACGGAUUCUAUCAAACCUAUAAACCAUCUUUAUAGUCUCAAACAAGUUAUAGUAAAUAUUUUCGACCAAAAAAGUUAUAGUGCAUAUGAAAAUUAAAAGACGUUAGUAUUAAAUAGAAACAAAGAAUCUCAAGAUAAUAAAACAAUAAUAAUCUCGAGAUAAUACUAAACUAUUAGUAAUUAGUGUAACUGGACAUAGGUAAACUUAUGUGAAAAGAAAAAGAGUCUUUACUUUUUGUCUUUGGUGAACAGAAGUCUUCGAACAUUAAAAUUUACAGAAAAAAAAAACAAUAAAUUUAGAGACAUAUCAAAAAGGAAAAACAAAAGUGGUCACUUUCAAAGCAGAAUAGUGGACACUUAACCGUGUUUAAGGGUUUUGAUGGUUUUCAAUAUUUUAUUCCCCUGGACAUUAUUAUUUGCAUGUGUCAUUACCACAUUUAUUUCACAAAAACAAUGACAUAGUUUUAAAAAAAACUGUGACAUUGCAUUAAGCUGAUUGUGACAUGUAAAAUUUCUUUAUGAAAUUAUAUUUGGCUAGAAUUUUUAAUAAGGUAAUGACUAUUAACUCUUAUACCAUUAUUAAACAUUUAAAUUUUAUGUAAUUAUAUUUAUUUUUGGCAAGACUUUUUAAAUAUUUAAUAAUUAAUAAUUUUUAUAUCAUCAUUAAAGAAAAUAUAAAAUAAACUAAACAUGACUACAUAUAACAUUUACAUUAAUUUAUAAAUUAAGAAAAUAAUUUAUAAAUUAAUUAAGAACAUGAUUUUCCACUAAAAGUAUUUUAACUAUAAUAAAAAAAAAUAUUAUUAAAAUUUAGGUAUUUAAAUAUAGACAAAAUUAAUUUGCAUAUGUGUCAUCACCAUAUUCAUUUUAAGAAAAUGACAUGGCUUUUGAAAUUAAAAUAUUAAUUAUAACUGUGUAUUAACAAAUAUAUAACUAAAAAAACACUAAUCAGUUUUUGUUGUUGAUGAUUAAUGAGUAAAACGUUUAUUAGCACUUAUCGGUUGAUUAGGUUAAUUAACAAAAAACUUUAUGGGCUUCAUGUAUUUAACUAAAACAAAUAAAAAUGUAACUUUAUUAAAUUUAAUAUAUAUAAAUAUAGACAUAUUUAAUAUUAGGAAAUAAGAUAAAUAUUUAAAUUAAAUAACCAAUAAAUAUAAUAAAAUAUAAAUAAAAAAAUUAUUUUUAGUAAAUGUAAUUAUAACUCUACUAAAUUUAAAUAAAAUAAAAUAGAAAUAGGUAACCAAAUUCGAAUUUUUUAAUAAAAAAAAUCACAUUUAUGAUUUUAUCUUUUUCCAAAUCGGUAAAUUUAAAAUAUAAAAAUAAUAAUAUCAAAAUGUAAAAUAAGUCUUGAAAAUAUUGUAAAGUUACAGUAAAAGUACAGAAAAUAAAAGAAAUGCUUUUCUAAAAUAAAAUAAAUACAAUAAGAUGCAAAGCUAAAAUUAGAGAAUAAUACAACACAGAGAUUAAAAUUUGAAGAAGUUUUCUUCUGAAUCAUUUUGCAUCUCAUUAUUCAACACCAUUUAUAUUUGGCUAUCAUUUUUAUGAUAUUUCAAAUUAUUUUUCGCAGUUUUGUUUGUUGUAUAAUAUUGUCCAUAUUCCACAUUAGAUCUACAUGUAUUUUUGAAAAAAUAAAUUCUAAUUUAUUGAUUCUCUCGAAAGAAAUAUUAAAUGAAAUUGCUAACUUUUAACAAUUCUAAAAUAUAUCUAUACAAUAAGGAAAUUGUAUUUUCAGUGAGGAAUGACCAAUAAACAUAUUGAAUUGUAAACAUAUAAUAUUUUUUGGUCGCAUCACUUCUAUACCCAUGACAAUGAACACUAUAGUGACUUCCAUGGUAAUUGUUUUCACAACAAAGUUGUUAAGAUGAGUUCCUUACCACUUACUAGUUUCUAAACAAUUAGAUUAAGUUGCUCACCUUCUAUCUCAGUUUCGAAUGCAAGACUCACAUGCUCACCGACGUGGCCUGGAACUCUGCCUCUCGUAAAGCAGGAGGUGGCUGGUACUGAAUUGAUCAUGAGAAUGUUGUUAUCUUGCAGGGUGCCCGAGUCUUUGAUCGUAUUUCCUCCCCACUGAUGGCGAAAGCCAUAACCAUCCGAUCUCUUGAAGCUGGAAUCACAGAAAUCUGCAUAAAAUCAGAUUGUCAAGUACUUAUUGCUGCUAUGUCUUCGAAACGUUUUCCGGCGGAUCUCUACGGAAUCUCCCGAGAUAUCGAGACUCUAUCUCUUUGCUUCCUUUGUAUUUCCUUUUGUUUUAUCCCGAGGAACCUGAACUCUAGAGCCAAUUCUUUGGCUAAGUCUGUAUUAAACUCUUCUCCCACCAACUAGUUUGGUCAGGGUAGCAUUUAUAAUAUUUGGUGUUCAAAAAAAAAAAUUAAGUUGCAUGACAUUGAUCUCACUCAAAUUACUCUAAAGAGUAAAUUUACUCUCUCAAAUAAGAGGUUUAUUGCAGUAUUUAGGGAUCGAAUCCACAAGGAGUUAGAGAACCUAAUAAAUCUAAUGGGUUUUGUUAAGUUGGAUGGUUUAAUGAUUAAAAUGUAAAUUUACAGUUUUGUUUGAGCAAGUAAUUGCUCGAUUGAUUGGUUGAGGUUUUGGUGCUUAAAAGAAAAUAGCUAGACUUAGGGUUUUUAUUUUUCCUUGAAAUUAUAAUCUUACGGAUGCCUAAUGGGUUGCAUGCAUGAUAAUGUAGAGCUCAACUACUAAGCAACAAGUCAAUCAGCUCUCGCGUUUCUGGACUUUUCUAUUAACUAGAUCUAAUGACCCAAACAAAUGUGUUCGAUCAAUAGCAAGUGUCGAUCGAUUAUCCUAUAGGGAUAUCGAUCGAUACACCUUUCACUCCGUCGAUCGAUUAUCCAAUAUGUAUAUCGAUCGACGCGCUUCUAAUUAGGAUUUAUGCGCAGGUUGAAUGAUGCUCACUAAGCUCACUAGAUCAGCUCUCGCCUUACUCUUAGCAAGAAACUUAGCUCAAUUAGAAUGGUUUCAGGAUGAGAAUGAAGCUAUCGCUUUUAUCUAACAAUCCUAGGGCAAAUUCUAGGUAGUUAAUCUAGAAUCAGGCAUUAAUGACAAUCCUAAUGAUUAUUAUCACAAUUCAGCAAUCUAUAGUUGGGGUUAAUCCCUCAUAACCUAUUUAAACCCUAAAAUCUAACAAUGGAACUAAUCAGACAUGGCCAAGCAAUUCAUAACAACAAUUAGGUAAGAAAACUUCAUUAGAAUAUUAAAUAGAUAUUAAUGGAGUUCCAAUCACAAAUAUAAUUUUGGAUCUUUUCUCCAAUAUAUCAAAAUCCUAAAAACCUUUUGCUGAUAUAAUAGUAAAACUAGAAACACAAGAAAAGCACACUUUGCCUCUAACAUGGUGGUAAGGCUUAUAUAAUUAGGUUAAAACUCGUCAGGGUAAUCUUGUAAAUUAGUGAAUACUUGGGCUUCAAGUCGGCUGUGACCAAACGGGCUUUCUGCGCGCUUCGCUGUCGAUCUAUGUUCACAUCGAUCGAUGUUCUGAUGUGAACAUCGAUCGAUAUUUGUUCCUCGAUAUCGACCGAUGGUCGAGCUCGACGGUCAUCUCGGAUGCUUACUCCAAAUAUCUCCAAAAUCAUCAAUUAUCUCCAAAUCACUCCUCAUCUUAUAAAUAUAAUAAAUAGAUUCUAUAAUAUAAUAAUUAGUAGUAAAAACACCUAUAAACCACGGUGAAAAUGGGUCAAAUUCGUGGUUUAUCAGACAUCGAUUAUGGACACAUAGUCUAUCCCGGAGAUUUCAAGAGCUGAUUGGAAAGGAAAAAAUUUAACUCUCAAUCCGCCUUAAAAAAAAAAAAUCCUCCUCUCAACAAAAGAAAAGUACAAAAGAUAGAGAAGCAUCGAGAGACUGAUCAUGCUUUGAUCAGAUUAGGGCUUGAGUAAUCUAGGACUUCUCCUUUAAGAUUACCAUUAACAUCGCAAGGAGAGAACGGUUACUCCCGUACAAACUUAUCUAUGUAUCUAUUGUUUAUAGCAUUAAAACCUUAUUUUUUUCUUAUUCGAUCAAAAAAUGUUUUGAUGCUAUAAACAAAAUAAAACAAUUUAAUAAAAUGAUGAUAAUAAUAAAAUUCAAGAAAAAUAACUAACAAAAACAAUUGUUAAUUAUGGUGUGAUUAAUAUACAAAUUUACUCAAGACUGUAUACUAUCUUUUAUAUAUAACUGCAUGUACUUGUAAAAUUGUUAAAUAAGCAUAAUUAUGAAAAUAAUAGAUAAAGAAUAAUUUGUAAAAGCAAUGGAUAAAAAGAUUAAGUUAAAGUUAAAAAUGUUGAUAAAUACAUAUAAAACAUUGGUUAGCCUUUAAAUAUUAGUGAAGUAUGAGUUAAGAAAUUUUUUUUAACAAAAACAAAAAAACUUUUUAAAACCAACACCACAAAAAUAAAACAUUUAAUAAAUAUGUAUAUUUUUAAUUUUAUAUUAAAUAAAUGCUCAAAGCCAAGGUUUAUUUUUCGAUUUAGUAGGCACGGCACCUAGUAAUAAUUCGUUCGUACGAGUUCAAUAUCUCCUCACUCUCUAUCUCGACUCUAUAUAAACUCUCUCGCAUAUUCACAUAUUCCACACAACUUCACAAAACAUGUCUUCUUCGUUUCUCUCCUCCACUGCUUCCUUCCUUUUUGUUCUUCUCUACAUUGGUUCCUUCCACGUCUCCGAUGGAGCUCAACAAGGAACAUACAUCGUUCACAUGGCGAAAUCUCAGAUGCCCUCGAGCUUCGACCACCACUCUCUCUGGUACGAGUCCUCUCUCAAGUCCAUCUCAGAAUCUGCUGAAAUGCUCUACACUUACAACAAUGCGAUUCACGGAUUUGCCACUCGGCUUACUCCCGAAGAAGCUGACUCGCUCAAGACUCAACCAGGUGUCAUCUCCGUUCGACCAGAGCAGCGGUAUGAGUUACACACCACUCGGACUCCACUAUUCCUCGGCCUCGGCGUACACAACUCCGGCCUGUUCCCUGAAACCGGUCCAGGCAGCGACGUCGUCAUCGGAGUUCUCGACACAGGUGUUUGGCCAGAGAGCAAAAGCUUCUCGGACGAAGGAUAUGGUCCUAUUCCGUCUACCUGGAAAGGCGAAUGCGAGGCUGGGACAAAAUUUACCACUUCCCUCUGUAACCGCAAACUAAUCGGAGCUAGAUUCUUCGUUUGUGGUUAUGAAGCAGAGUAUGGACCAGUGGACGAAUCUAAAGAGUCGAGAUCGCCUAGAGACGACGACGGUCACGGAACACACACAGCUUCAACCGCGGCUGGAUCCAUCGUGGAAGGAGCUAAUCUUUUGGGCUUCGCUAACGGGACGGCUCGUGGGAUGGCUUAUCGCGCUCGAGUGGCUGUUUACAAAGUUUGUUGGAAACCUAAAUGCUUCAGCUCAGAUGUUUUAGCUGGAAUCGAUAAAGCCAUCGAAGAUAAUGUCAACGUUCUGUCGUUAUCUCUUGGCAAAAGAAACAGAGAUUAUACUAACGAUGUUGCCAUGGGAGCAUUCUCGGCCAUGGAAAGAGGGAUCUUUGUUUCCUGCUCUGCUGGUAAUGAUGGUCCCAGCCCAUCCAGCUUAUCGAAUGUAGCUCCAUGGAUUACUACUGUUGGUGCUGGUACAUUAGAUCGUGAUUUUCCGGCACUAGUGACUCUUGGCAACGGGAAGAGUUAUAUUGGAGCUUCCUUGUUUAAAAAAGAUGCUCUUCCGCCUACACUGUUGCCGUUUGUUUACGCCGGGAGUGCUAGUAACAAUGCUACUUAUGGAAAAUUUUGUCUCUCCGGAACACUAAUUCCGGAGAAGGUAUAUGGGAAGAUCGUGAUGUGCGAGAAAGGAGAGAAUGAUAGAGCUGAGAAAGGAGAGGUGGUGAAAGCUGCUGGUGGACUCGGAAUGAUUCUGCCGAAUAGGGCGAAUAGGGGAGAAGAGCUUGCCGCAAAGGCCCAUGUGUUACCGGCGACCACUGUGGGACAAAAAGCCGGUGACAUUAUCCGGCGCUACGUCAAGACGGAUCCGAGUCCGACCGCUUCGAUUGUGAUCCAAGGAACGGUCGUCAAAGUCAAGCCCUCUCCUGUGCUUGCAGCUUUCAGCUCGCGAGGACCUAAUCCCAUAACGCCAAACAUUCUCAAACCGGACUUGAUCGCUCCUGGAGUCAAUAUCCUCGCCGCAUGGACCGGAGCUCUAGGACCUUCCGGACUCGCUUCCGAUACUAGCCGCGUGGAAUUCAACAUCAUCUCAGGAACGUCCAUGUCUUGCCCUCAUGUGAGCGGUUUAGCGGCUCUUCUCAAAUCAGUGCAUCCAGAUUGGAGCCCGGCGGCAAUUCGAUCAGCUCUCAUGACGACCGCUUACAAUACCUACAAAGACGGAAAACCAUUGCUCGACAUCUUAACGGUAAAACCUUCAACACCAUUCGGGCACGGUGCAGGACACGUAUCACCUGCGACGGCCAUCAGUCCAGGACUCAUCUACGAUCUAACGACUAAGGAUUAUAUAGAUUUCCUCUGCGCAUUGAAUUACAAUUCGUCGCAGAUAGGAUGCGUGACGAGAGGCAAUUACGCUUGCGAUCCAAGAAAAAUGUACUCCGUCGCUGAUCUAAACUAUCCGUCCUUCUCAGUUAGCGUCCACGGGUCCGGAGGCACGUACAAGUACACACGCACGGUCACAAACGUGGGAGGAGCUGGUUCGUACACGGUUAAAGUAAUCUCUGAGACAGCAGCAGUCAAGAUUUCGGUUGAACCGGCGGUUUUGAAUUUCAAAAAAGUGAAUGAGAAGAAAUCGUACUCGGUUACGUUUACCGUUGUCUCAUCCAUGGCGCCAAGGUCUAACAGCUUCGGGAGCAUUGAAUGGUCAGAUGGGAAACACGUGGUGGCCAGUCCCGUGGCGAUUAGCUG